AGAGUUUGAUCCUGGCUCAGGAUGAACGCUGGCGGCGUGCCUAAUACAUGCAAGUCGAGCGAACGGACGAGAAGCUUGCUUCUCUGAUGUUAGCGGCGGACGGGUGAGUAACACGUGGAUAACCUACCUAUAAGACUGGGAUAACUUCGGGAAACCGGAGCUAAUACCGGAUAAUAUUUUGAACCGCAUGGUUCAAAAGUAAAAGACGGUCUUGCUGUCACUUAUAGAUGGAUCCGCGCUGCAUUAGCUAGUUGGUAAGGUAACGGCUUACCAAGGCAACGAUGCAUAGCCGACCUAAGAGGGUGAUCGGCCACACUGGAACUGAGACACGGUCCAGACUCCUACGGGAGGCAGCAGUAGGGAAUCUUCCGCAAUGGGCGAAAGCCUGACGGAGCAACGCCGCGUGAGUGAUGAAGGUCUUCGGAUCGUAAAACUCUGUUAUUAGGGAAGAACAUAUGUGUAAGUAACUGUGCACAUCUUGACGGUACCUAAUCAGAAAGCCACGGCUAACUACGUGCCAGCAGCCGCGGUAAUACGUAGGUGGCAAGCGUUAUCCGGAAUUAUUGGGCGUAAAGCGCGCGUAGGCGGUUUUUUAAGUCUGAUGUGAAAGCCCACGGCUCAACCGUGGAGGGUCAUUGGAAACUGGAAAACUUGAGUGCAGAAGAGGAAAGUGGAAUUCCAUGUGUAGCGGUGAAAUGCGCAGAGAUAUGGAGGAACACCAGUGGCGAAGGCGACUUUCUGGUCUGUAACUGACGCUGAUGUGCGAAAGCGUGGGGAUCAAACAGGAUUAGAUACCCUGGUAGUCCACGCCGUAAACGAUGAGUGCUAAGUGUUAGGGGGUUUCCGCCCCUUAGUGCUGCAGCUAACGCAUUAAGCACUCCGCCUGGGGAGUACGACCGCAAGGUUGAAACUCAAAGGAAUUGACGGGGACCCGCACAAGCGGUGGAGCAUGUGGUUUAAUUCGAAGCAACGCGAAGAACCUUACCAAAUCUUGACAUCCUUUGACAACUCUAGAGAUAGAGCCUUCCCCUUCGGGGGACAAAGUGACAGGUGGUGCAUGGUUGUCGUCAGCUCGUGUCGUGAGAUGUUGGGUUAAGUCCCGCAACGAGCGCAACCCUUAAGCUUAGUUGCCAUCAUUAAGUUGGGCACUCUAAGUUGACUGCCGGUGACAAACCGGAGGAAGGUGGGGAUGACGUCAAAUCAUCAUGCCCCUUAUGAUUUGGGCUACACACGUGCUACAAUGGACAAUACAAAGGGCAGCGAAACCGCGAGGUCAAGCAAAUCCCAUAAAGUUGUUCUCAGUUCGGAUUGUAGUCUGCAACUCGACUACAUGAAGCUGGAAUCGCUAGUAAUCGUAGAUCAGCAUGCUACGGUGAAUACGUUCCCGGGUCUUGUACACACCGCCCGUCACACCACGAGAGUUUGUAACACCCGAAGCCGGUGGAGUAACCUUUUAGGAGCUAGCCGUCGAAGGUGGGACAAAUGAUUGGGGUGAAGUCGUAACAAGGUAGCCGUAUCGGAAGGUGCGGCUGGAUCACCU
This 1540-nucleotide ribosomal RNA is filed under the name Staphylococcus aureus W34839. RNAcentral's name for it is "16S ribosomal RNA". It matches the Rfam family "Bacterial small subunit ribosomal RNA". The record is from RNAcentral. Lineage: Bacteria; Bacillati; Bacillota; Bacilli; Caryophanales; Staphylococcaceae.